This 293-nucleotide long non-coding RNA is filed under the name Zostera marina. RNAcentral's name for it is "long non-coding RNA (ZMAR_LNC005931)". The record is from RNAcentral. Lineage: Eukaryota; Viridiplantae; Streptophyta; Magnoliopsida; Alismatales; Zosteraceae.
UUGUUGUUGCUAUUCCUGAAAAAGGUAACGAUGUUGUUCCGAAAGUAGGUGUUGUUGCUGUUCCUGAAGAAGUUCGUGAUAUUGUUCCGAAAGUUGGUGUUGUUGCUGUUUCUGAAGAAGUUGGUGAUGUUGUUCCGAAAGUAGGUGUUGAUGUUAUUCCUGAAAAACAUGUGACUGAUGUUCGUGAAGCAGUAGAAGAUGUGAAUGAUGUUGUUCCUGAGGUAGAUGGGAAUGUCGAUCAUGAAGCAGAUGUUGCUGAGGUAGAAGCAAAGGUCGUUUUUGAGAAAACGAGG